RNAcentral lists this ribosomal RNA (449 nucleotides) under uncultured bacterium. RNAcentral's name for it is "bacterial SSU rRNA". It matches the Rfam family "Bacterial small subunit ribosomal RNA", at positions 329 to 794 of the family's 1533-position model. The record is from RNAcentral.
GUCCAGACUCCUACGGGAGGCAGCAGUGGGGAAUAUUGCACAAUGGGGGAAACCCUGAUGCAGCGACGCCGCGUGAGUGAAGAAGUAUUUCGGUAUGUAAAGCUCUAUCAGCAGGGAAGAAAAUGACGGUACCUGAUUAAGAAGCCCCGGCUAACUACGUGCCAGCAGCCGCGGUAAUACGUAGGGGGCAAGCGUUAUCCGGAUUUACUGGGUGUAAAGGGAGCGUAGACGGCAUUGCAAAUCCGGAGUGAAAGCCCACGGCCCAACCGUGGGACUGCUCUGGAAACUGUAGAGCUGGAGUGCGGGAGGGGCAGGCGGAAUUCCUAGUGUAGCGGUGAAAUGCGUAGAUAUUAGGAGGAACACCGGCGGCGAAGGCGGCCUGCUGGACCGUAACUGACGUUGAGGCUCGAAAGCGUGGGGAGCAAACAGGAUUAGAUACCCGCGUAAGC